This 227-nucleotide unclassified non-coding RNA is filed under the name Hevea brasiliensis (rubber tree). Lineage: Eukaryota; Viridiplantae; Streptophyta; Magnoliopsida; Malpighiales; Euphorbiaceae. The record is from RNAcentral.
GAAGUACUUGAAGAAGAUAAUUGAGGAGCAACAACGACUCAGUGGAACCCUGGGAGAGGUGCCUAGUGCAGAGGUCUCUGCCCCAGUAUUAGGUGAUAAUUGCCCAGAAUCUGACAAGAAGACUGACCCAGCAACCCUUGCUCCAACUUCAGAGUCCCCCGUUCAAGACAAGGCUGUCAAGGAGUGUGCCCCAGCCAAAAGCAUUUCUAUUGAUGAAUCAUUCUCAU